Acanthochromis polyacanthus (spiny chromis) is the source of this 2831-nucleotide long non-coding RNA. RefSeq lists it as uncharacterized. The transcript has 3 exons. The record is from RefSeq and is a predicted model, not a curated record. Lineage: Eukaryota; Metazoa; Chordata; Actinopteri; Pomacentridae.
CAUGGAGGCCAUACAAACUACUGAAUACCAUUUUUUUACCAUUUUUUUGGUUUCAACUUUGUGCCAGCUUUGAAAAUUAUUUAGUAGUAAAGCGCUGAAAAUGAGAAAAGAGAAAAACCCUCAAACUUUUUAUUAACUUAAUAUUAAACUUCAACGUAAUUUCAAGAUAAUGGUUCAAAGAUGUUAAUCCCAUAUGGAAAUGUGGCACAAAAAAGGGAUAAUCAGUAGACUAAAUAAAUAAAACUUAGAAGCUGCUUAUCAUGGUGAUCAGAGAAACCUGACAUCACAACAGGUCAACACAACAAACAGUUGCAGGAAAAGGGUCCCUAAAGCUUGUUGUGCUGAUUGACACCAUCUCUUUGGGAGUGUAAUCAAAAGACGACCUCGUAAGCUUUCGAAUGAGCCAUACCAUGUCGAAAUCUAUGCAUUACAAGGAAAGUUAUGACCGGAAUACUGUGGCUGUGUAAUGGUCUGGCAUGUACCAGACGUUGUUUGUUUACAUCUUCACUCCCGUUCCAUGAUGGCGGCCGGUGACGCAUCGCCAGCCUAUGCUCGCUGGACAGUGGCGCGAGGCUUCUAUGAUUUCUAUGGGUAGGAGAACAACAGGAGGAUGCCCAAGUUUUGUGCUGUCUACGGCUGUACAAACCGGGAAAAUCAAAAGAGUUACUUUCGAGUUCCGAAAGUUGUAACCCACAAAGGGGAGAAAUUUAAAAAACUGACCGAAAAACGGCGGCAGACCUGGUUAAAAAAAACCUUCGUCUUAGGUCAGGGGGGGCAGAGUCGGUCAACGCCCGUGUCUGCAGUGACCACUUCGUGAAAGGCUGCCCAAGUGCUGUCACAGAUGUAGACUCUCCAGACUGGUCCCCGACGCUUCAUCUCGGCUACCAGAGAGGUAAACCGGUGACAGAGGCAUCACGUCAACGUGAGGAAAGAUUGAGGGCCAGAAAGGCUAAUGAGACCAACACGGAUGCAAAAGAGACCUGCACCAACACCACCAGGGCAUUGCUGGAGCUCAGUGAAGGCUCACAGAUCCCAGAAUCAGAACACUUAAAAGAUGUAUGAUGCCAGACUGACCUGACCAUGAAUGACCUUCAGAAGAUGCAGGAUGUUCUCAGUCAUUCAACAGAGGAGCUGACUGACCUCAGGCAAAAAAAGCACUGGAUGCAGAAUUUAAUCCAGAGGCUUUUCAGAACAAUGAAAAGACAAAAUUUUACACAGGAUUGCCCGUGUCUUAGUUUUAAAGCAGGUGUUUAGGUUAUGUGAGCCAUACAUCACCUCAAGUGGUUUGUCUGUACUUUCCAAAUUUGAACAGCUCAUUUUGGUCUUAAUUCAUUUGAGACUUAAUCUUCCACUGCAGGAUUUGGCUUUUAGAGUCAAGAUUUCAUGUUCCACUGCUUCUCGAAUUUGGCACAAGAUGAUUGACAUACUUCAUGCAAGAACAGAGUUUCUAAUUGAGUGGCCGGAGCGAGAGGUGUUGCAAGCUACCAUGCCAAUGUCAUUUAGGCAAGCAUUUGGAUGCAAGGUUGCAGUAAUUGUGGACUGUUUCGAAGUGUUCAUAGAAAGGCCUAAUUUACUAGCAAGAGCACAAAUCUGGUCCAGUUAUAAACACCACAACACUGUCAAAUUUCUCAUUGGCAUUGCACCUCAAGGAUAUGUCACAUACAUCUCUCGUGCUUGGGGAGGGAGAGUAAGUGACAAGCAGUUAACUGAAGAGAGUGGUCUGCUGAAGAAUUUGUUGCCCGAUGACAUUGUUCUGGCAGAUCACGGCUUUAAUAUAGGGGAAAGUGUUGGAUUUUACUGUGCUUCAUUGUAUAUGCCUGCAUUCACAAAAGGGAAGAGCCAGCUAUCUGCAUAUGAGGUUGAACAAACAAGAAAACUUGCUAAUGUGUGCAUUCAUGUGGAAAGAGUAAUAGGAUUAGUGCGAAGAAAGUACCAAAUUCUGCAGAGUAGGGCAAUGCCCAUUGAACAUAUGGCUGCAAAAGCAGGAGAUUCACUGGCACUGAUUGAUAAGAUUGGGGUUAUUUGCUGUGCAUUAGCUAACCUUUCUGUCUCCGUUGUCCCACUGGAGUAAGCAAUAGACAUUAUAUUCAUCCAAAGUAAAAAAGAAAAGAAAAUACUUGAAUGUAUUGACAGAAUUGGCAGAAAACCAGAGUCCCACCAUCACUGUGCAAUCUUUGAGAAAUACCAUCUCCUCAGCUUCGACAACCUCAGAACUUUCAAAAAGUGCUUAAUAAGUGCAAAAAUGUGUCUACCCCAUGAUUGUUUCAAAGGAGAGUUUCUCUCUCUUUUUUAAGUGUAAAAAUUAGCCUAAUUGUAAAGGAAGGUUUCUCCCUCCUUUUAAAAUUGGAAACAUUAGACUAGAAGUACAAAUAUCAGCCUAAUUCUGAUGUUGUCAAAGGUGGGUUUCACUCUUUCAUGAAAAAUAAAUGAAGUAUGUAUAUAUGUAUUUGUCAACAACAAAGACAGGAGUGCUUAUAUGAAGCUUGUUUUUGUAGGUUGGUUAAUGUUGUGUGAUUCUGUAUAUAUUCUGUUAAUUAAUAUGCUGUAGUUAUGUUUUAACCCUCCUGUUGUCCUCACAUCAAGGAAAGGACAGAGGUGAAGAAGCUAGGAAGGAUGGAGGAAAGAAGCAUUUUCUGUCUCUUACUAUGAAAUUCCAAAAAAGAUUUCCAAUGUUUAACUUUAUACUUUUACUUGAGUAAAGUUCUUUUUAUACACGUAUCUGUUCUUCUAUUCAAGAAUGUGUGUACUUUUGGCACCUCUGUAUAUUGUACAUGUGUUUUUAUAUUUAUGUUUACUUAUAUAUAGGCAUUAAAAAUAUUUCAUACUUUGAA